RNAcentral lists this ribosomal RNA (490 nucleotides) under uncultured bacterium. RNAcentral's name for it is "partial 16S ribosomal RNA". It matches the Rfam family "Bacterial small subunit ribosomal RNA", at positions 29 to 507 of the family's 1533-position model. The record is from RNAcentral.
AGUGAACGCUGGCGGCAUGCCUAACACAUGCAAGUCGAACGGCAGCACAAGAGAGCUUGCUCUCUGGGUGGCGAGUGGCGGACGGGUGAGGAAUGCAUCGGAAUCUGCCCAUUUGUGGGGGAUAACCUCGGGAAACCGGGACUAAUACCGCAUACGACCUACGGGUGAAAGCAGGGGAUCUUCGGACCUUGCGCAGAUGGAUGAGCCGAUGCCGGAUUAGCUAGUUGGGGGGGUAAAGGCCCACCAAGGCGACGAUCCGUAGCUGGUCUGAGAGGAUGAUCGGCCACACUGGGACUGAGACACGGCCCAGACUCCUACGGGAGGCAGCAGUGGGGAAUAUUGGACAAUGGGCGCAAGCCUGAUCCAGCCAUGCCGCGUGUGUGAAGAAGGCCUUCGGGUUGUAAAGCACUUUUGUUGGGAAAGAAAAGCAGCCGGUUAAUACCCGGUUGUCAUGACGGUACCCAAAGAAUAAGCACCGGCUAACUUCGUG